AGUGAACGCUGGCGGUAGGCCUAACACAUGCAAGUCGAACGGCAGCACAGAGGAGCUUGCUCCUUGGGUGGCGAGUGGCGGACGGGUGAGGAAUACAUCGGAAUCUACUCUGUCGUGGGGGAUAACGUAGGGAAACUUACGCUAAUACCGCAUACGACCUACGGGUGAAAGCAGGGGACCUUCGGGCCUUGCGCGAUUGAAUGAGCCGAUGUCGGAUUAGCUAGUUGGCGGGGUAAAGGCCCACCAAGGCGACGAUCCGUAGUUGGUCGGAGAGGAUGAUCAGCCACACGAGAACUGAGACACGGGCCAGACUCCGACGGGAGGCAGCAGUGGGGAAUAUUGGACAAUGGGCGCAAGCCUGAUCCAGCCAUACCGCGUGGGUGAAGAAGGCCUUCGGGUUGUAAAGCCCUUUUGUUGGGAAAGAAAUCCAGCUGGCUAAUACCCGGUUGGGAUGACGGUACCCAAAGAAUAAGCACCGGCUAACUUCGUGCCAGCCGCCGCGGUAA
RNAcentral lists this ribosomal RNA (506 nucleotides) under uncultured bacterium. RNAcentral describes it as "partial 16S ribosomal RNA". It matches the Rfam family "Bacterial small subunit ribosomal RNA", at positions 29 to 523 of the family's 1533-position model. The record is from RNAcentral.